ACCCCGAUAGGCGAGGGGCAGGCGACUGUCCGUCUGGCGGGCGGUGGAGCUCCGGAAGAAACCUUCACCGCCGGACCAUCUCCCGUCCGGGGUA
RNAcentral lists this transfer RNA (94 nucleotides) under Glycocaulis albus. RNAcentral's name for it is "tRNA-Gln". The record is from RNAcentral. Lineage: Bacteria; Pseudomonadati; Pseudomonadota; Alphaproteobacteria; Maricaulales; Maricaulaceae.